UGCACAAAAAAAAAAUUGGUAAAUUAUUAAAUUUUAUAACAAUUUUUAAAUAUUUGACAAAAUAUACAGAGAAAAUAAAGAAACAGAAAAACUAAAAACUACAAUAAAGACUAAAGCUACAAAGGAAAACAAGCAAAAGCAACAAACAAAAAACACCUCAAAAUAAAUUAAGGGGAUCAUGGAUAAUAAAGCACCAAUUCCGAGUAUAGAACUCGAACAUUUGUAAAGUUGCCGCAGAUCCAAAGAACUGGAAUCCUCAUCUUUGUUGCCACGAGCUCCUCCUUCCGAGACCUGCCCUCAAACGUCGCAAGUGAGAAGAGCCUAUAGCUUCUCCAAGAACUAUGCAAAAACGAACCAACUUCAGAAGAUCAAGCUACACCCGGCGGCAUAGGAGCUUCUACUAGCAGUCAGAGAAGUUGCCUCCGGCAAGCAUCCUCAAGCUAUAAAAUCCUGAAGAAUCAUCUCCCAAGGUUGCAACAGAGCCGCCAAAGUCAGACCGAUGCCUCUAUUCAACACCUAAUCACCACCAACACUGCAGCGGACCAAAACUCAAUUGAAUAAUCACAUGUCCAUAACCUUUGAAGCGAAGCCACGCUGGAAACCAUAACAGAUCUGGAUAGAUCCGAAGAGCAAACAAAGGGGAAACUCUGAACUCCACCACAUUGAAGCGCCACCCCCAGCCAUCACCGAAGAGGUGCUCACGCCAGAGCUAACAGACCCAAGACAUCCGCCUAGGCAUAACCUCACGAAGGAGAAUAUGCACACGCCGAAAAGAGAUGCCACUAAUCUGAGAUGAGACGUCGCACCCUGACCACCGCACUUGACUGGAGCAGGGACAGUACUCAAAUCCCUGCCAUUGAGAAAGAGCAGACGAACCAGAGAGAGGCGAAAACACCACUUUGAUCGAAAGAUCACUUAAGACGAGACAAGAAGAGGUAGACAGAUUGCCGAUGAACCGCCAAACGCCACACAAUUACAAUGAAUAGAUCUGUCACCUCAACCACCAGAUAAUCUUUCCCAAAGUGGCGACUCCUCAACUUCCCUGCUGAAAACUGAAUAAGCAGAGAAGCAUAACUGAACAAAAGAAAGCAGAACAGCCCUCUCCAGACAGAGGUGAGGAGCACCGACCGCGGAGAGCUGGAACGAGCUAAGGCGAAGAGGAGUGGCAGCUGCAAGUCGAGAAAGAAUAUAAGAAGAACUUAUUAAGCACUCACAAUAAUUUUUACAAGUUAUGGGAAUAUAAAAUAACAUAAUAGUAUUUAACACUUUCGUACUAUUAUUAAAUUAAGUUCCCGACACAACAUAUUUCUGGAAACACACACAACAAAGAAUUACAAUACAAAAUAACACCCAAUUAACAUAUAUUGCAGCAUCCAUAAUUACUAUGUAUAGUAAAUUCACAUGAAACAUAUAAAGUUAGUCUUAUAUAAGUUAAGAAAAAAAGAACAAGUGAAAGUGAGUAACUCCUAGAGAAAAAUAAA
Molecule: long non-coding RNA, 1481 nt
Filed under: Brassica napus (rape)
Lineage: Eukaryota; Viridiplantae; Streptophyta; Magnoliopsida; Brassicales; Brassicaceae
Description: long non-coding RNA (BNAP_LNC025751)
Source: RNAcentral